This is a long non-coding RNA of Magnolia sinica, 1365 nucleotides long. RefSeq lists it as uncharacterized. NCBI's taxonomy places the organism in Eukaryota, Viridiplantae, Streptophyta, Magnoliopsida, Magnoliales, Magnoliaceae. The record is from RefSeq and is a predicted model, not a curated record. The transcript has 6 exons.
UCUCCUUUCCAUCUGUCCCUCUCCCAACGCCGGCCCUAGAGAUCUCUCUCUCGCACGCCCUCUCUCUCUCUCUCUGAAGCUCGGUUGAAGGCUAGCUCAUUGACAAUCGUGAGCAUAGAGCAUGCUAAAAAUAAAAUUUUAGUUGUUGAUUGACUCCUACGACUAAGGGAAGUAAUAGUUGACAUCGACAACUAUAUCUUGGUGCUACAUUAAGACAACAUAUGGCUUGAACUCAUGGAUCAUGGGAGAAGUUUGUUAUAUCGUCCCCAGGUGUGGGAAGUGUAGGAAUUAUUUAAACUGCUCCAAUUUUAUCUUUGUUAACUAUAGUUUGUGUUGCAGGUUGUGGAAUGUGAGUUGUUGGUGGUCCGUGCAAGCGAAUUACCAUACGAGGGACAUGAACCAGUUGAGGAUGUUUAUGGCAAAAAAUGCAUUGCAUGGCAGUUGUCAUGCAAGCAACCUGCAGGUGAACUCAGUCAGCUUUCUGCCAGGAGUAAACAUGAGAAGAACAAUGUCUUAUAGAAUUGACAGUUAACAUUGUUCAAGACUCCAUUUGUCAUUUAGAGAACGUGUUCUGCCUAUCACAUGCAGUCCCCAACAUCACAAAUGCAAAAUCAACAACAACAAAGGCAAUAAAUUAUACCAGACUAGGCAACCGCUGUUGAGGUACAAAACCUUCUUGUUUCUGGUAGAAGGAAAGAGGCUCUAUGGUGUGCACAAGAAGGUCAGUUGUGGGGCAUCUUUUGAUUGAUUUAAGCGUGCAUAUGUGGUCUUACGAAGCAGUUGGACUUGUGGUCUUUUGACCACAUGAGCCGUCAUCCGGACCUUGCUUUGCAGACCACAGCUGCAGCAAAAGAUCCUUGUCAUGAGGAACUGACAUGUUGUGUGGUGACUCCUCAUGUGCCUUCGCUGCUUUGAAAAAUGUCUCUGCUGCUGCAGAUAAUUUUUGGGAUGCAAAUAAGCUUAGACAGACUGUUUUGGGACUGUUUAUAAGGUAACUUCCAUGAAAACAUAAUUUUGUAGCCUACUACAUAUCAUCGUUGUUUUGAUCUAUCACACUCAAUGUAAUCACAAGUACAUAGCUGGCUUGUAAAGAGAUUUAAGAGUUGGGUCUUUUGAUAGCAGGGAUGAUUCAUGGAUUUUUUUUCCUGUUUUCCUAGAACUCAUGCAGUGCAGCUGUUAGAACAUCACACAACCCUGCAGCAAAAAGAAAUCCAUGGUCAUAUCGGCUCUUGUACCUAACGCAAACAUUUUUUCCUGGUAAUGGGCACUCUAUUUUAGCCUCGAAUAAGAAGCUAAAAAAGGUGAGCUCUAUGGUUUUGGUGCACUAAAAUGAUUUUUGUUCUUUGCCAAUCUUUUAGUUUUAUU